AGUACACUAUUAGUAGAGAAUAUGUUUGCGAGCCCCCUCGGGGGUCUCAUCGCCCUCGUUGCCGCCCCUCCUGGUGACGGGGGCUUUUUU
RNAcentral lists this non-coding RNA (90 nucleotides) under Trichlorobacter lovleyi SZ. RNAcentral's name for it is "atoC RNA". It matches the Rfam family "atoC RNA". The record is from RNAcentral. Lineage: Bacteria; Pseudomonadati; Thermodesulfobacteriota; Desulfuromonadia; Geobacterales; Geobacteraceae.